RNAcentral lists this ribosomal RNA (253 nucleotides) under uncultured bacterium. RNAcentral's name for it is "partial 16S ribosomal RNA". It matches the Rfam family "Bacterial small subunit ribosomal RNA", at positions 524 to 776 of the family's 1533-position model. The record is from RNAcentral.
UACGGAGGGGGCAAGCGUUGUUCGGAUUUACUGGGCGUAAAGGGCGCGUAGGCGGUCGAUUAAGUUACUUGUGAAAUCUCUGAGCUUAACUCAGAGCGGCCAAGUAAUACUAUUUGACUAGAGUGCAGAAGGGGCAACUGGAAUUCUUGGUGUAGCGGUGAAAUGCGUAGAUAUCAAGAGGAACACCUGAGGCGAAGGCGGGUUGCUGGGCUGACACUGACGCUGAGGCGCGAAAGUGUGGGGAGCGAACCGG